UUAAGUUAAUAAGGGCGCACGGUGGAUGCCUUGGCACUAGGAGCCGAAGAAGGACGGGACUAACGCCGAUAUGCUUUGGGGAGCUGUAAGUAAGCUUUGAUCCAGAGAUUUCCGAAUGGGGAAACCCAACACUCUUUAUCGGGUGUUACUAUUGACUGAAUACAUAGGUCAAUAGAGGUAGACGCAGAGAACUGAAACAUCUAAGUACCUGCAGGAAGAGAAAGAAAAAUCGAUUCCCUGAGUAGCGGCGAGCGAAACGGGAAUAGCCCAAACCAGAAAGCUUGCUUUCUGGGGUUGUAGGACUGAACACAUAGAGUCAUAAAUGAACGAAGUAGGAGAAGCGACCUGGAAAGGUCCGCCGAAGAGGGUAAUAGCCCCGUAACUGAAACUUCGUUCACUCUGAUCAGUAUCCUGAGUACGGCGGAACACGAGAAAUUCCGUCGGAAUCCGGGAGGACCAUCUCCCAAGGCUAAAUACUCCCUAGUGACCGAUAGUGAACCAGUACCGUGAGGGAAAGGUGAAAAGAACCCCGGAAGGGGAGUGAAACAGCACCUGAAACCGUGUGCUUACAAGUAGUUAGAGCCCGUUAAUGGGUGAUAGCGUGCCUUUUGUAGAAUGAACCGGCGAGUUACGAUCCCAUGCGAGGUUAAGUUGAUGAGACGGAGCCGUAGCGAAAGCGAGUCUGAAUAGGGCGAAUGAGUAUGUGGUCGUAGACCCGAAACCAAGUGAUCUACCCAUGUCCAGGUUGAAGGUGCGGUAAUACGCACUGGAGGACCGAACCCACGUAUGUUGAAAAAUGCGGGGAUGAGGUGUGGGUAGCGGAGAAAUUCCAAUCGAACUUGGAGAUAGCUGGUUCUCUCCGAAAUAGCUUUAGGGCUAGCCUCGGAAUUAGAAUCAUGGAGGUAGAGCAACUGUUUGGACUAGGGGCCCUUCUCGGGUUACCGAAUUCAGAUAAACUCCGAAUGCCAUUGAUUUAUAUCCGGGAGUCAGACUACGAGUGAUAAGAUCCGUAGUCGAGAGGGAAACAGCCCAGACCACCAGCUAAGGUCCCAAAGUUUAUGUUAAGUGGAAAAGGAUGUGGGGUUGCUUAGACAACUAGGAUGUUGGCUCAGAAGCAGCCAUCAUUUAAAGAGUGCGUAAUAGCUCACUAGUCGAGUGACCCUGCGCCGAAAAUUUACCGGGGCUAAACAUAACACCGAAGCUGUGGAUAGAACUUAGGUUCUAUGGUAGGAGAGCGUUCUAAGGGCGUCGAAGCUAGACCGUGAGGACUGGUGGAGCGCUUAGAAGUGAGAAUGCCGGUAUGAGUAGCGAAAGACGGGUGAGAAUCCCGUCCACCGAAUGACUAAGGUUUCCUGGGGAAGGCUCGUCCUCCCAGGGUUAGUCGGGACCUAAGUCGAGGCCGAUAGGCGUAGACGAUGGAUAACAGGUUGAGAUUCCUGUACCAGUUUGUUUUGUUUGAACAAUGGAGGGACACAGUAGGCUAAGGAAUACGCACGGUUGGAUAUGUGCGUCCAAGCAACAAGUCUUGAGGUGAGUCAAAUGCUUGCUUCUAUAAGGACAAGUUGUGAUGGGGAGGGAAAUUAAGUACCGAAGUUCCUGAUGUCACACUGUCAAGAAAAGCUUCUAGUUAGAAACAAUCUGCCCGUACCGCAAACCGACACAGGUAGUCGAGGAGAGAAUCCUAAGGUGUGCGAGCGAACUCUCGUUAAGGAACUCGGCAAAAUGACCCCGUAACUUCGGGAGAAGGGGUGCUGACCAAUUGGUCAGCCGCAGUGAAUAGGCCCAAGCAACUGUUUAUCAAAAACACAGGUCUCUGCUAAAUCGAAAGAUGAAGUAUAGGGGCUGACGCCUGCCCGGUGCUGGAAGGUUAAGAGGAUGGGUUAGCUUUCGAGCGAAGCUCAGAAUUGAAGCCCCAGUAAACGGCGGCCGUAACUAUAACGGUCCUAAGGUAGCGAAAUUCCUUGUCGGGUAAGUUCCGACCCGCACGAAA
This 1990-nucleotide ribosomal RNA is filed under the name feces metagenome. RNAcentral's name for it is "bacterial LSU rRNA". It matches the Rfam family "Bacterial large subunit ribosomal RNA", at positions 3 to 1997 of the family's 2925-position model. The record is from RNAcentral.